CGUGCCCAGAAAAACUCAGGUUCGGCGGCCUAAGCUUAGAGUUCGGCGGCCGAACCAUUUGAGGUGAAGAAACUAUUCCUUUAAAAAAGAACUUUCGGCGGCCUAAAGUCAGAGUUCGGCGGCCGAACUUGGGUGACUUUCGUCUCUGUUCCUCUCUUUCGGAAGCCGAACUUUUGGCUUCGGAGGCAGACUUAAAACAUACUUUCGGCGGCCGAAGGUUAAAAGUUCGGCGGCCGAAAGUGCG
This 244-nucleotide long non-coding RNA is filed under the name Manihot esculenta (cassava). RNAcentral's name for it is "long non-coding RNA (MESC_LNC000117)". Lineage: Eukaryota; Viridiplantae; Streptophyta; Magnoliopsida; Malpighiales; Euphorbiaceae. The record is from RNAcentral.